Molecule: ribosomal RNA, 493 nt
Filed under: uncultured bacterium
Lineage: Bacteria
Description: partial 16S ribosomal RNA
Rfam family: Bacterial small subunit ribosomal RNA
Source: RNAcentral
CGAACGCUGGCGGCGUGCCUAAUACAUGCAAGUAGCACGCUGAAGGAGGAGCUUGCUCUUCUGGAUGAGUUGCGAACGGGUGAGUAACGCGUAGGUAACCUGCCUGGUAGCGGGGGAUAACUAUUGGAAACGAUAGCUAAUACCGCAUAAGAGUAGAUGUUGCAUGACAUUUACUUAAAAGGUGCAAUUGCAUCACUACCAGAUGGACCUGCGUUGUAUUAGCUAGUUGGUGGGGUAACGGCUUACCAAGGCGACGAUACAUAGCCGACCUGAGAGGGUGAUCGGCCACACUGGGACUGAGACACGGCCCAGACUCCUACGGGAGGCAGCAGUAGGGAAUCUUCGGCAAUGGACGGAAGUCUGACCGAGCAACGCCGCGUGAGUGAAGAAGGGUUUCGGAUCGUAAAGCUCUGUUGUAAGAGAAGAACGAGUGUGAGAGUGGAAAGUUCACACUGUGACGGUAUCUUACCAGAAAGGGACGGCUAACUACGUG